Molecule: long non-coding RNA, 887 nt
Organism: Raphanus sativus (radish)
Lineage: Eukaryota; Viridiplantae; Streptophyta; Magnoliopsida; Brassicales; Brassicaceae
Exons: 2
Source: RefSeq, a predicted model, not a curated record
UAUCCUCACCAUUUGAAACACAAUUUGGAAAAAGGUAUAAUUAUUAGCACAUGAGUCAAACUAGAUCACGUGAUUAGAUCCCAAAAAUGUAUCUUUAAAACCAAUAAUAUAACCCACAAAGCAGCAAGAGUUCCAAUCUCUCUUUCCUUCCAUUUUAACUCAAACAAAGCUAGCUACUCAAAAGUUUUCUCAGUUGCAGUCUCAGGAACAGAAGAACCUAAGAGCUCCAAGAUUAAAAAGAGGAUUCACAAUGAAGAGGUUCCAUACAUGGGAAUCGAUCUCAGCAGCUCUGAUCCUGUUACUUCUAGCUUUGUAUAUCGGCAAGAAUAAUGUAGAGGGUCGUCACAUGACACCAGCAGUGAGAGAUUUGCAGAUAAGUAAGGAGAUGAAGGAGGAGGAGUCUCUAAGAGGUGAAAAAAAUAGCUUCAGAAGAAUCCCAAGGAGUGGCUUCAGUCCUAUACAUAACAGCUACGUCCCUUAGGAAGGUAGAAAACAGCAGUUAACCACAAGAGAACCAUAGUAAUAAAUUUUCUCCCCCUCAUGAAUCUUUAUAAUUUUUUUUUUGUUUGCACUGUACUAUAGGGUACUUACACUUAUUAGUGGAUGUUGUAAUGUAAAUGGAGCAUCAGAAAGUUUCUUAUAAGCUUUGUUCUGUUAACAGCUUCUAGAGUAGGCUUAGACUUCUAUAAGUUCGUUUGGUAUGUAAUAUGAAAGUACUGUUUUAAUUAGCAUUCUUGUGAGGGCAGAUCAAGCCAGAAAGGCUUUAACAAUGCUGCCAUCUACAUUAAAAUAUUAGAGGAGAAGAAGUGUGACACAGCAUAGAGGAAAGAUGCAGCUUGACUAAUAUAUGUUAUAGAAUAAAUAGACUAUAAUAUAAAAGCCUAACC